This 464-nucleotide ribosomal RNA is filed under the name uncultured bacterium. RNAcentral's name for it is "bacterial SSU rRNA". It matches the Rfam family "Bacterial small subunit ribosomal RNA", at positions 588 to 1057 of the family's 1533-position model. The record is from RNAcentral.
UCAGUUGUGAAAGUUUGCGGCUCAACCGUAAAAUUGCAGUUGAUACUGGAUAUCUUGAGUGCAGUUGAGGCAGGCGGAAUUCGUGGUGUAGCGGUGAAAUGCUUAGAUAUCACGAAGAACUCCGAUUGCGAAGGCAGCCUGCUAAGCUGCAACUGACAUUGAGGCUCGAAAGUGUGGGUAUCAAACAGGAUUAGAUACCCUGGUAGUCCACGCGGUAAACGAUGAAUACUCGCUGUUUGCGAUAUACAGCAAGCGGCCAAGCGAAAGCGUUAAGUAUUCCACCUGGGGAGUACGCCGGCAACGGUGAAACUCAAAGGAAUUGACGGGGGCCCGCACAAGCGGAGGAACAUGUGGUUUAAUUCGAUGAUACGCGAGGAACCUUACCCGGGCUUAAAUUGCAGAUGAAUUACGGUGAAAGCCGUAAGCCGCAAGGCAUCUGUGAAGGUGCUGCAUGGUUGUCGUCA